Molecule: ribosomal RNA, 201 nt
Filed under: uncultured bacterium
Lineage: Bacteria
Description: partial 16S ribosomal RNA
Rfam family: Bacterial small subunit ribosomal RNA
Source: RNAcentral
UACGUAGGGACCGAGCGUUGUCCGGAAUCAUUGGGCGUAAAGAGCGUGUAGGCGGCCUUUUAAGUCCUGCGUGAAAUCCUGCGGCUACAACCCGGCAGACGGUCGUGGGAAACUGGAAGGCUAGAGUGCGGGAGAGGAGAGUGGAAUUCCCGGUGUAGCGGUGAAAUGCGCAGAUAUCGGGAAGAACACCCGUGGCGAAGG